AUACUACUGAUGAGUCCCACAAUAGGAUGAAAUGGCCGUCCAGUAC
This 46-nucleotide non-coding RNA is filed under the name Schistosoma curassoni. Lineage: Eukaryota; Metazoa; Platyhelminthes; Trematoda; Strigeidida; Schistosomatidae. The record is from RNAcentral.